GCCGAAUAAAGAACUGCUCUGUGUGACCACUAUCAAGUAGUGCUUGCUCCUUCUCUCCAUGUAAAAUACUACACCCAGAAAACACUGCAUGCUGUCAGAAGUGCCGAAAAGUCACCUGCUCGAGUAAGGAUAUUGUUACAAGGACUUUGUUUACAGCUUAUCCAGCAUCAGCAUGGACUUUUUCAAAGCACCAGACCCUCUGCAGUUCACAGGAAAUGUAAGUGAAAACUGGAAGAGAUGGGAGCAAAGAAUUCUAGUUUAUGCUGAAGCAGCUGAACUUUACAAUAAGGAGCAAAAGACUCAGAUUGCCAUAGCCUUGCAUGUUGUGGGUGGGGAAGGACAAGAGGUUUACAACACACUGGAAUAAUAAUAAUAAUAAUAAUAACAAAGUAUUUAACCAGGAAAGGCACAUUCAGAUUACUCUGGUUUUCAAGUACGUCCUGGGGAAUCAGCCCUGCCUGUUGAAAGAACAUUGAAUUCAGUGCUGACAUUGUUCAGGGACCACUGUAAUCCAAAGACAAAUGAGACUAAGAGUGAAAGCAAGAGUUUGGGAAUAUACUUGUUGACAUGUUAAGAGACAAAUUUGUUUUUCGUGUUACUGAUGCCAGACUUAAAGAACGUCUACUCAGAGAGACUGACCAAACACUACAAAAGGCGGUAGAUAUGUGUCAGGCUGCUGAAGCCAAAUAAGACCAGGUUCAAGUUAUGGCAGCAAAAAUGGCAGCAAGCGCUUACCAGCCUAUUCAUGCAUUGGAGUACAACUCUACUCUCUCUAAAUCAGUGGAGGCUACUAGAGGCAGGUGUGCCCUAAUUGUGGCAGGGUUCACCCACCUCAAAGAUGCCCAGCAUUUGGGUGUGUUUGUUACACGUGUAACAAAAAUAAUCACUUUCACUUUAAUCCAGGGGCCAGGAGGGUGAGAAAGUAAAAAUGGUGGAGACUUUAUUUAUUGGAGCAAUACUGAGAUAUUUGACCUCUAACCAUGAACAAAACUCAAUGAGAAUGGGCUAAAAUUUAUUAUCAACAAAGUUAUAUCAACACAUUAAAUGACUGUGUGCCUUUAAAUCUGGAAUACCAUUGGGAUAGAUGAUGUCUACCUUUUCCCCAUCCUUAAAUAGUUAAACCAUACCUUCAGGAAGGGCUUAGUUCUAUACGUCUCUGCCAGAAUUUCAAUGGAAACAGUGCAAAGAAAUAUAAAACAAUUCGUUAUGGAUUCAUAUUGUGAUUUGCUUCUCUGCGUUCCUAAAAAUGAAAUGGGUUUUUACUUCCUCUUUAAUCAAAAACCGUAAAAAUACAAUAUUACAGCCUUAAAUCUAAAAGUAAAUGACAUUUUUAUAUCGGGCAUUGCUAUUACACCCAGGGAUUUGAUUUGGAAAUUCUGAAUAUCCUGCGGAUAAUUUAGUCAUAGGUUAUGUGAUUGUUUGAGUUGGCACCUUGGUCUAGACAGAGUGGGCGAGAGUGAGUGCGUCAAAUCUUUGGCGUUUACAAAAUCCCCAAGAUCCAGCCAUCUCAAGCACGUACAUGCCUUGAAAAGGAACGCAGACUGCCAAAUGCAACUAUCUGUGCACUGGCAGUAACUGGAAAGAACAACACCUAUUACCUACCUGGAGGUAGCCUGGCAGCAUGCCCUUAUGAGAAUUCUUGUUGUUCAAUUGAUAAAUAUCAUAAAGAGGCUUAAAGGAACACUAUAGUCACCAGAGCAACUACAGAUUAAUGUAGUUGUACUGGUCUCUAUUGCCCGUCCCUGCGUGCUUUUUAAUGUAAACGCUGUCUUUUCAGAGAAAAGGCAAUGUUUACAUUGCUGCCUAGUAACACCUCUAGUGGCAGUCACAUAAAUGGCCAGUAAAGGUGCUUCCUGGGGCACUGCUGCACAGUGUGAAACACCGAUGUUCAGCAUCUCCACCCUCUGCAUGGAGACACUGAAUGCUCCCCAUAAAGAUGCAUUAAUGAAUACAUCUCUAUUAGGAGAUGCUGAUUAGCCCAGAGCCGUGUUUUGCUCUGAAUGCGCAAUAGCAUCCUUAUGCUUUCCUAUGGGAUAGCAAUGAAUUGGCUGAGAAUGUCAAAUCUGAUGAUCUCAGUCAGAGAGAUGGAGUGGGGAGGAGCCAAGACUGGCGCUGCCCUGGAAAUAAGUUGAGUAAAAUCAUCUCAAGGGUGGGACUGACACCUAUACAGUGUUUUUAAAACCAUAUGUGAGCAAUGACAUUUCCUAACCUCUCCCAGAAUGCCAUGCAAAAUCUGCAAAUGAGCACAGUGUUAUGCCUGUCACAAAGUCACCUGGAAAAUUAAUUAGCAAUGUUUGUUCACAGUCUGAUGGGAGUUAGGGUGCUGUGCUAAACAUAUUACAGGCCUAUUUUCACCUGCUUUUAAAUCUGGAAUCUCAAGUUGGUAUGAACUCCAGAGCAGUGCAACUCUUAUUUGGAGAUUCUCUAUUGGACAGUAUCUAGUCUAUUCAAACACAAAGAGAAAUGCACAUCAGGAGAAAGUAUCCCACGCAGAGUAGUCUGUCAUGUUAUUUUGUUUUCUCUAUUUAUAACUCUAUCACUUUGGCUCCAUUCAAUCUAGGGAGUUACUAUGGCCCCCCAGCAGGAGACGUUAAGUUCUUUAACUGUCACCUUGGUCUCCUCCAUCUGCUUCAAACGUGGAAGCUCUACUGAGAGCUUCAUACCAGUCAGCCUUCUUCAGUACAGAAUUCUGUGCAUUCAGUUUCAAAUGAAUAGCAUUUUGUCCCAAUUUUGGGCGAUUAUUGAUUCAUCCUAAAUGCGGGAUGGGAGGGGGGCAAUUCAGGAUUCUACAGUGCAAGAAAAACGGGUUUGUUUUCCUGGAACUGGAGAGUCCCUUUAAGGUUAGAGUAGCUGAAGUGAAAGUAAAGUUGACAUAGAUAAUUUUUCCAGUUUGGCAAAUUUGACCCUAAAUUUUAAAUUCACCUUUAGUGAACUACCCUAGUGAACAAAUCGUGCUUUGCUUCACUGAUCUCAGAAAUAAUAAAUGGGAUUAUCAGUUAGAUCUACAGUUUUAUUUACUGUUCUAUGUAGGUUGUAGAGUUUUAAUGAUGCAUGUGCAAGGCCUGGAUCUGCUCUUCAGUAUCUCUUGGGUGGGUUGCGUUUAUAUAUUGUAUAUUUAUUAUCAGAAUCCAUGAUAAUUAAAGGGACACUAUAGUCACCAGAACAACUACAGCUUAUUGAAUUUGUUCUGGUUAGUAGAAUCAUUACCUUCAGGCUUUUUGCUGAAAACACUGUCUUUUCAGAGAAAAUGCAGUGUUUACAUUACAGCCUAGUGAUUACUUCACUGGCCACUCCUCAGAUGGCUGUUAGAGAUCCUUCCUGGGUCAUGGCUGCCUAAAAUGCAUCCAAACAUUCAGUGUCUCCACCCUCUGCAUGCAGACACUGAACUUUCCUUAUAGAGAUUCAUUGAUUCAAUUCAUCUCUAUGAGGAGAUGCUGAUUGGCCAGGGCUGUGAUUGACUUGUGCUGGCUCUGCCCCUGAUCUGCCUCCUUGGCAGUCUCAGCCAAUCCUAUGGGGAAGCAUUGUGAUUGGCUCAGGCAUCAAUUUCUGAUGAUGUCAGCAGACAGCUUGCUAGUCUGAGACAAACAGCAUGCAGAGCUACAGCUUCAGGCUUGAAUACAAGUAAGAUUUUACUAUUUUUAGGGAGGUAUGAGGGGCCCAGGGUGGCUAGAUGGUGGUUUUAACACUAUAGGGUCAGGAAUACAUGUUUGUGUUCCUGACCCUAAAGUGCUCCUUUAAGGAAGUUAGCCCAUUGAUUCUGAUAAGAUUACCAAAGGCUAUGUUUGUCAGCCACAGGUCACACUUGGUAGGUUUCCUUCAUCUUUCAACUGUUUAUGGACUAAAAAUCCCAUAAUUCUCAAGCUAAACAUAAUUUGGCAAGGGAUUAUAUAUCUACUUUAUCAAUAGCUGGAGGGUAUUGUUUGGACACCCCUUGAUUUAUAACCCCCAAGUCGAGGCAUCUUUCAUAGUCAUCUUUGUCAUAGUUAUCUUUCAUAAAUAAACCCACAAUGUUGUCAUAACAGAUCAACAAUAUCUGAGAAUGAGUCAUCAUAUUGCAAUUUUGUUUAAAUGUACAAUCUUGUCUUGGCUUAAAAACAAACAGAAUGGUUAAUGAAAAUCUAGUAUGAAAGAAUUUUGAUGAACAUGUGCCAAGUUUAAAGUAUGCUGGAAUAAUUGUUAUGUUAGUUUAAGUUAGUUUGAAGUCAAAAAUUGUUGAGCUGUGAAAAAAACCAAGGCCAGCAUAAUUUGACUGUGAUUUAAUAUGUACAAGAAAUAAACUCAAAACAUUUGGUCAUUUGGAAAAAAGAAAGAUAAGUUUUAUAGUGGAGUUAAAAAGUUACAUGUUUUUAGAUGAAAUUCAAUUGUAAAAAUGUGAUAAAACUUAAUCAUUAAGCCCAGCUGUAUUGUGUGUGUUGAUACAGAGGUCAAGUGUAUUUGGAGAAAAUCUUAAGAAAGAUACAAUUCCUAUUCUGCCUUAAAGGGACACUAUAGGCACCCAGACCACUUCAUUUCAUUGAAGUGGUCUGUGUGCAGUGCCCCUGUCCUCUUAACACUGCCAUUGUAAUUAUUGCAGUUAUUACCUUGCAGAGUUAACUCCACCUCUAGUGGCUGUCUAUAGACAUCGCUGCGCAUGCGCAUUAGGCCCCUCUGCCGGCUGAUGUUGGCAGAGGAGGAGUGACCCAGCACGAGGGUUAUUGGUGCUGAAAUAAGUUAAGUGACAAAAGGGUUUUAACCAUUUCAGUGUGAAGAGGAGGAAUGAAGAAGAGGGGGGAAGAGGGUACAACUUUGUAUUCCUAGCACUGUAGUUUCCCUUUUUAAUUUGAAGAAUUUGGUCUUUAAACUGCAGUUCCAGGUACAGCUCCUUUGGGUGUAUUGAUCUUUCUCUCAUCAAUGUGUAGAGUUUCAUUGUUGAUCUUUUUAGUACCUUCUGGUGCAAUAUAUAAAACUGGCCAGCUUGCAUUAAUUACUAGGAAUCAUUAAAUCUGUAUUUGGCAAAUAUUUCCAUUUCUCUCCAGUGCAAUGUGUGCCUGUAAGUGCCGGGCUUGUACUCAUUUUCUAAAUCUCUAACAUACAUUUCUUUAAAAAUAAAAUCAGCAUCACUUAAAAUGCUAUAGGUAAUUUUCAAUUAUGUAUUCAAUGCUGUAAUGUUCAGAUGAUUCUCCUUUAAAUCAUAAAUGUUUGAUUUUUAUACUGUAUAUCACGUGUUUUAAACCAUUUAAGGUCAUAUUAAAGUCUUAUGAGUACGUAGGUUUUUAUUACUGUUGGCAUUGGUAUG
Pelobates cultripes (western spadefoot toad) is the source of this 5275-nucleotide non-coding RNA. NCBI's taxonomy places the organism in Eukaryota, Metazoa, Chordata, Amphibia, Anura, Pelobatidae. The record is from the annotation of a GenBank genome assembly.